GGGUCUGAACCACAGGAGAAGCCCUGAAUCUAAGAAUGAGGCCAAUCAGGGCUGAGUGGUCAGGUUGAAAGAAUCAGCUAAUAGAAAAGCAGACUUGGCUGAGUGAAGGGAUGACCCAGCAACCAGGCUGCAGUGCGUUAAGGCUGAUGAGGCACUUGGAGAGGUGACCCGGAGUGCGGACUGUGAAAACGAGUCUCAGAACCCAAGCUCUGGCCCUCAUGGUGAAACGAGAAGAGUACUAGGGCUUUUCUUCAGGGAGCCUGGGAGGGCAUUCGAGGGAGCAGGACUGCCGACCAGAGACUGGUGAACCUCGCUGGAGAUAGCCAAGAAUGGAACUACUCUGCUAAUAUAUGCUGACUGACAGCAAACUAUUCCGGCCUUCAGUUGACUGGAAGAGGGCCACCCAGUUAGGGUGAGGAAUCUGUUUUACUCAGUCUAGCAAUUUUUAAUUUUUUAAUAUUUAUUUUUAUUUAUAUGGCCAUGC
This 484-nucleotide long non-coding RNA is filed under the name Capra hircus (goat). Its description in RNAcentral is "lncRNA (ENSCHIG00010024416.1)". Lineage: Eukaryota; Metazoa; Chordata; Mammalia; Artiodactyla; Bovidae. The record is from RNAcentral.